RNAcentral lists this ribosomal RNA (495 nucleotides) under uncultured bacterium. Its description in RNAcentral is "partial 16S ribosomal RNA". It matches the Rfam family "Bacterial small subunit ribosomal RNA", at positions 28 to 507 of the family's 1533-position model. The record is from RNAcentral.
GACGAACGCUGGCGGCGUGCCUAAUACAUGCAAGUAGAACGCUGAAGGAGGAGCUUGCUUCUCUGGAUGAGUUGCGAACGGGUGAGUAACGCGUAGGUAACCUGCCUGGUAGCGGGGGAUAACUAUUGGAAACGAUAGCUAAUACCGCAUAAUAGUAGAUGUUGCAUGACAUUUGCUUAAAAGGUGCAAUUGCAUCACUACCAGAUGGACCUGCGUUGUAUUAGCUAGUUGGUGAGGUAACGGCUCACCAAGGCAACGAUACAUAGCCGACCUGAGAGGGUGAUCGGCCAAACUGGGACUGAGACAAGGCCCAGACUCCUACGGGAGGAAGCAGUAGGGAAUCUUCGGGCAUGGACGGAAGUCUGAACGAGCAAAGCCGCGGGAGUGAAGAAGGUUUUCGGAUCGUAAAGCUCUGUUGUAAGAGAAGAAAGAGUGUGAGAGUGGAAAGUUCACAACGUGACGGUAUCUUAACAGAAAGGGACGGCUAACUACGUG